CCUCCCGUAGCUCAGCGGCCAGAGCGCUUGUCUUAUAAACAAGUGGUCGCGGGUUCGAAUCCCGCCGGGAGGAC
This 74-nucleotide transfer RNA is filed under the name Aquisphaera giovannonii. Its description in RNAcentral is "tRNA-Ile". It matches the Rfam family "tRNA". From Rfam's summary of the family: Transfer RNA (tRNA) molecules are approximately 80 nucleotides in length. Their secondary structure includes four short double-helical elements and three loops (D, anti-codon, and T loops). The record is from RNAcentral. Lineage: Bacteria; Pseudomonadati; Planctomycetota; Planctomycetia; Isosphaerales; Isosphaeraceae.